UGUCGCACCACGAGGCGCU
This 19-nucleotide small nuclear RNA is filed under the name Arabidopsis thaliana (thale cress). RNAcentral describes it as "snRNA_18934". Lineage: Eukaryota; Viridiplantae; Streptophyta; Magnoliopsida; Brassicales; Brassicaceae. The record is from RNAcentral.